Molecule: ribosomal RNA, 492 nt
Filed under: uncultured bacterium
Lineage: Bacteria
Description: partial 16S ribosomal RNA
Rfam family: Bacterial small subunit ribosomal RNA
Source: RNAcentral
AGUGAACGCUGGCGGUAGGCCUAACACAUGCAAGUCGAACGGCAGCACAGUAAGAGCUUGCUCUUACGGGUGGCGAGUGGCGGACGGGUGAGGAAUACAUCGGAAUCUACUUUUUCGUGGGGGAUAACGUAGGGAAACUUACGCUAAUACCGCAUACGACGUACGGGUGAAAGCAGGGGAUCUUCGGACCUUGCGCGAUUGAAUGAGCCGGUGUCGGAUUAGCUAGUUGGCGGGGUAAAGGCCCACCCAGGCGACGAUCCGGAGCUGGUCUGAGAGGGUGAUGAGCCACCCUGGAACUGGGACACGGUCCAGACUCCUACGGGAGGCAGCAGUGGGGAAUGUUGGACAAUGGGCGCAAGCCUGAUCCAGCCAUACCGCGUGUGUGAAGAAGGCGUUCGGGUUGUAAAGCCCUUUUGUUGGGAAAGAAAAGCAGCAGGUUAAUACCCCGCUGUUCUGACGGUACCCAAAGAAUAAGCACCGGCUAACUUCGUG